UACGUAGGGGGCUAGCGUUAUCUGGAAUUACUGGGCGUAAAGGGUGCGUAGGUGGUUUCUUAAGUCAGAGGUGAAAGGCUACGGCCCAACCGUGGAACUGCCUUUGAAACUGUAGAGCUUGAGUGUCGGAGAGGGUGGCGGAAUUCCAGGUGUAGGAGUGAAAUCCGUAGAUAUCUGGAGGAACACCGGUGGCGAAGGCGGCCACCUGGACGACAACUGACGCUGAGGUGCGAAAGCGUGGGUAGCAAACAGG
RNAcentral lists this ribosomal RNA (253 nucleotides) under uncultured bacterium. RNAcentral's name for it is "partial 16S ribosomal RNA". It matches the Rfam family "Bacterial small subunit ribosomal RNA", at positions 524 to 776 of the family's 1533-position model. The record is from RNAcentral.